UACGAAGGGGGCUAGCGUUGUUCGGAAUUACUGGGCGUAAAGCGCACGUAGGCGGAUAUUUAAGUCAGGGGUGAAAUCCCAGAGCUCAACUCUGGAACUGCCUUUGAUACUGGGUAUCUUGAGUAUGGAAGAGGUAAGUGGAAUUGCGAGUGUAGAGGUGAAAUUCGUAGAUAUUCGCAGGAACACCAGUGGUGAAGGCGGCUUACUGGUCCAUAACUGACGCUGAGGUGCGAAAGCGUGGGGAGCAAACAGG
RNAcentral lists this ribosomal RNA (253 nucleotides) under uncultured bacterium. RNAcentral describes it as "partial 16S ribosomal RNA". It matches the Rfam family "Bacterial small subunit ribosomal RNA", at positions 524 to 776 of the family's 1533-position model. The record is from RNAcentral.